This 3675-nucleotide long non-coding RNA is filed under the name Mytilus galloprovincialis (Mediterranean mussel). Lineage: Eukaryota; Metazoa; Mollusca; Bivalvia; Mytilida; Mytilidae. The record is from RNAcentral.
UUGAAUUACUGAAGGGCGAUCCAGCAGUAACAAAGUUAUAUCAGGAGCCACUGGGUAGUCCAUAGCAGCUUAAAGUAAAUUCCGCCAAAAUUACAAGUUGAGUAACUAGUUGCACAACUUGUAAUCCGCCAUAAAAUUUACCGCAUGACAAAUUUAACAGCAAGAAUCAACAUCAAUCAACUUCAACAUCAUUAUCAACUUCGAUGUCAUUAUCAACAUCAUAAUCAAUUUCAACAUCAUUAUCAACUCAACAUCAUUAUCAACUUCAACAUUAUUAUCAACUUCAAUAUUAUCAACUUCAAUAUUGUCAACUUCAAUAUUGUCAACUUCAAUAUUAUUAUCAACUUCAAUAUUAUCAACUACAACAUUAUUAUCAACUACAACAUUAUUAUCAACUACAACAUAUUAUCAACUUCAAUAUUAUCAACUUCAAUAUUAUCAACUUCAACAUUAUUAUCAACUUCAAUAUUAUCAACUACAACAUUAUUAUCAACUUCAACACAAACAUCAAAAAGUUCAAUAUCAACUUAAAUUCAAUACUUUGAACUUCAUUAAAUUGAUAUUCAUGUGGCAACAUCAACAUAAACUUCAGCUAAAAUGCAAUACUGUCAACAUCUAAGCUAUGUUAUUCAUUGUAAGGGAAAACCAAACAAUGAGGAAAUUUAAAGAAAAUAUAUACAUAACAUUUUCAGAGCUCCUUGAAUCUGAUUUAGGAAUACACCCAACUAUCUCUAAUCCAAACGAUGCACAUAUAAGCUUAAUAUGACAGCUCCUAUAACAAUAAAAGAGCCAAUUACCCAAAUAUCAUUCAGGUACCCUGAAAUAAAGUGUUUCAACUAUACAAUGCAAGGUUUGUUUUUGCAUAACCUUUUUUAAAGUGUAUGAAAAUGUCCAUCGUCUUUGUGUCUCAGCAAUGUAGUCCGACAUCAACCGGACAGGACAAAUUGAAGUAGUUUAUUCUUUUCCAGAAUUGUCGUUACUGAAUUACCCAGCUGAUCUGUUUGCUAAGAAGGAACUUUUAUAAUAACUUAAGUGACCCUGAAUAAGCAUCAAAUUAUAUCUUGGAUCGUUUUACAAUAAGAUUUUCAUUAAAAUUUGAAUUUGCAAUUACUCCAAAACUAAGAAACCCAAAAUUCUAGCUGAAAAUGAAGCUUUGAAUAAACAUGUUUCAUAUACUGAAUAACAAACUAAAUUAAGCGCAUCUAAAAGUCUAGUUAAUAUACCAAUAGUAAUAGGCUUACGACAGACGUGUCGCUUAUGUCACUGAGCAUCUUUUGAACAAUAAAAGAAUGAGUGUUGUCCAAUAAACCAUUGAUCUUAUGAUUAAACCUAAUGCCUGAAAGGUACGCAUUCCCAGUGGAAUAAGAAUAUUCAUCUUUAAACAUGUCAGCUACUAUUAACUAAAUGUGAAACGGGGCAUGGCCAUACGUCAUACAGGUUUAGUUUAUGUUUAAAGUUUUGAAAUUAAUUUAGUCCAUUUGAUACGCAAGCCAAGUAUUUGAAUAACUCUUGCACUACCGAUGAAGAGAUUUAAAACAGAACUCGACAACCACUUGUCACUCAAAAUAUAAGAAAUGCCAUUAUAAUUUCUAAAAUUAUUUUCCAAACACGUAGAUUAGAAAUAGGUCGAUAAUAAAAAGGCCCCGCAAUUCUACCAUUUCAAUUCACUCAUGAUUUUUCCAAGCUAAAUUUGGAUCUUGUAAAACAGACUUUAAUAUUUUGCUUGUAUGAUGUGCUCGAAAACCAUAUUUAAAACCAUUAUAUAAUAAGUUUUGCCAACAUUUUAACGGGGUAGUCAGUCAACAUAUUCCUUUAAACCGUAGUAUUAACAGGGGAACAACCAAAAAUACCAAAUAUCAUACGGUGAUUGCAAGCUGUAAACAAAAUUAUAAAAUUUGAAAUGAUUAAAUUGCAUCCGUGGAACAUUUGCCUGCUCACAGGGAAAUCUUUAAUUAUUUAUCGAAAAACGAGUAUUUGGGUUAAAAUUUCCAUGUGUAUUCAAAAAACCUGUUUGACUGCUCUAGCACUGGACUGAUACCUUGGUGCAAAAUUGUUUGCAUCAGGUGCCCUAGGGUAGUUUUAAUACCUAGGAGCAGAAUAGUCCGAAGUUACAGAACUUCGAGGAUUAUUCUUGUUAUAUGAAUAAUUUGUACAGUACAGCGAAGGAUGGAACUGGCUACAUCUUAUACCUGAAUUCAUGGCUGUAUACACAAUUCAUACGAGUACAAACGGCCUUAAAAUUAUAAUCGUAGCAAGGACUAAUAACUGUGUGAGAAGUAUAAGAAGAUGUCUGUGGAACAUGAUUUAUGCCUACUGCAAUAAACUGAAGCCAUAGCUGCCCAUCAAUGCCGUCCCAUGUACGCAUAUGAUCACGAGCUUUUCUAAGUCGAAAUUGCAUGUCAAAUUUAUAAACGUUCUCAAAAGGUACACCCCCUUAUAAUCGUCAUGUAGCUAAUCAAUUCAUUUGCCAAUUCCGGGAAUCUUUGCAAUAAAAUUUUCAUAUAAUUUAAAAACCCUUCAGUCCACUCACCUAAGUUAGAUAAUGAUUUACUUUUGAAUAUUUGUUUCUGUCAAUUAAAAUGUCUCCAUCUUCAUCAAAACCGAGCACUUUUUUCGGUUGAUCAAUUUUUGAAACAAAAUGUUUUUGUAAAGUAAUUGUGCCAAAUCAACAUAUUCUAAAUUUCAUAUUUGGUUUAUAAUUUUUUUUGUGGUACAAACACAUCAACAUCAUUACUAGUAGGUAUAACUAAAUUCUCACCGUUUUGUACAGAAUUACGAGCUGUGGGCUGCCCUGGGUGUACACAUCCCUGAUCAGGAACUUGUUGUUCAGCGGGCUGCAGAGGAAGUUUGAAGUUCAAAUGAGUUGUGGUUGUAGAAUUGGCUGUAGUGGUACAAACGGCUGUUGUGGUAAUAACUGCUGUUGUGGUUAUAACUGAUGUGGUGGCAAUAACUGAUGUGGUGGCAUUAAUGGCUGUUGUGGCAUUAAUGGCUGUUGUGGUGGCAUUAAUGGCUAUUGUGGUGGUAUUAAUGGCUGUUGUGGUGGUAUUAACGGCUGUUGUGGAAUGGUUAUAUUUUGUCUUACAAUUUCAGCUCUCUUUGGGCGAAGCCUUCUGUUUACCGGUAGCUUUAUUUGAUUUUGCCUACGUACAGCACGAUUUGGCAGCACCCUCUCCCCUUUUCCUCUCGGCAUACUGGCUUAAACAAAUAAUUACAAUGUUAGUCAAUGCAUUAGUAAAAUAUUAUAUCAUUUGUCAAUGUUAUAUCCCUUAAUCAAACAAUUCAAUCAAUAUUGAAAUACAAAUAUUUCAAUUUUUACCAUUGACUAAUUAGUAUUAAGAUACAAUGGCAAUAACCAAAGUAGAAAAAGCCGCAAAUGCUUGAUUGUGGCUGUCAAUGUCCAGUGGCAGAUAUUUCAAGUAUACUCAUAAUGAUAAUAUCAUAUUGAUAACGAAAGUCAUAAAAUAAAAUAAUUAUUGUAUCUACCGAAUAUCAAUUGAAGUGGCCUUCGUUAAUGAGAAAUAUUCCUAUCCUAUAAUCGACUAUAAUACAUGAAAACUAUGAAACAAUUAAAUCGAAAAGUAUAUAUAUUUAAAUAGUCAACUAACAUCCUUGAUGGCUCGCAAAAGUUUACAAAAAGAAAUGAUUCAUUAGGUACGGAAAGUGAUUUUUUUUUUU